This 296-nucleotide ribosomal RNA is filed under the name uncultured bacterium. RNAcentral's name for it is "partial 16S ribosomal RNA". It matches the Rfam family "Bacterial small subunit ribosomal RNA", at positions 222 to 507 of the family's 1533-position model. The record is from RNAcentral.
AAGAUGAGCCUAGGUCGGAGUUAGUCUAGUUGGUGAGGUAAUGGCUCACCAAAGGCUACGAUCCGUAACUGGUCUGAGAGGAUGAUCAGUCACACUGGAACUGAGACACGGUCCAGACUCCUACGGGAGGCAGCAGUGGGGAAUAUUGGACAAUGGGCGAAAGCCUGAUCCAGCCAUGCCGCGUGUGUGAAGAAGGUCUUCGGAUUGUAAAGCACUUUAAGUUGGGAGGAAGGGCAUUAACCUAAUACGUUAGUGUCUUGACGUUACCGACAGAAUAAGCACCGGCUAACUCUGUG